CCUACGGGAGGCAGCAGUGGGGAAUAUUGCGCAAUGGGCGAAAGCCUGACGCAGCGACGCCGCGUGAGGGAUGAAGGUCUUCGGAUCGUCAACCUCUGUCAGCAGGGAAGAACGGUCACUGUGCUAAUCAUCUGUGAAUUGACGGUACCUGCAAAGGAAGCACCGGCUAACUCCGUGCCAGCAGCCGCGGUAAUACGUAGGCGGCUAGCGUUAAUCGGAAUUACUGGGCGUAAAGCGCUCGUAGGCGGUAUGUCAAUUCAAGGGUGAAAUCCCCGCGCUAAACGUGGGAACUUCCUUUGAAACUGGCAAAAUGGAGUGUGUGAGAGGAGAGUGGAAUUCCAGGUGUAGGAGUGAAAUCCGUAGAUAUCAGGAGGAACAUCAGUGGCGAAGGCGACUAUCUGGCACAUAACUGACGCUGAGGAGCGAAAGCGUGGGUAGCAAACAGGAUUAGAUACCCUUGUAGUC
This 465-nucleotide ribosomal RNA is filed under the name uncultured bacterium. RNAcentral's name for it is "partial 16S ribosomal RNA". It matches the Rfam family "Bacterial small subunit ribosomal RNA", at positions 338 to 795 of the family's 1533-position model. The record is from RNAcentral.